GUUAUAUGGUCAAGUAGAAAAGCGCACACGGUGGAUGCCUUGGCGAUAACAGGCGAUGAAGGACGUGAUAGCCUGCGAAAAGCUGCGGCGAGUUGGCAAAUAAACAUUGACCCGCAGAUGUCCGAAUGGGGAAACCCACUCCUUUGGAGUAUUCUUAUCUGAAUCUAUAGGGUAAGAAAGCAAACCUAGGGAACUGAAACAUCUAAGUACCUAGAGGAAAAGAAAUCAACCGAGAUUCCGUCAGUAGUGGCGAGCGAAAGCGGAACAGCCCGUAUGAUAUAGUCGUAUUAUGAGCAGAAUGGUCUGGAAAGUCCAGCGACACAGGGUGAUAGCCCCGUAGGCAAACAUAAAACGAUAGAACUAAGCAUACAUAGAGUAAGGCGGGACACGAGAAAUCCUGUCUGAACAUGGGGGGCCCAUCCUCCAAGGCUAAAUACUCGUUAUCGACCGAUAGUGAACCAGUACCGUGAGGGAAAGGUGAAAAGAACCCAGCGAGGGGAGUGAAAUAGACCCUGAAACCGUGUGCGUACAAGCAGUGGGAGCAUUUGAAGAAAUGUGACUGCGUACCUUUUGUAUAAUGGGUCAGCGACUUACUGGCAGUGGCAAGCUUAACCAUCAGGUAGGCCUAGCGAAAGCGAGUCUGAAUAGGGCGUUAAGUCGCUGUCAGUAGACCCGAAACCGGGCGAUCUAGCCAUGAGCAGGAUGAAAGUCGGGUAACACCAACUGGAGGUCCGAACCCACGUCUGUUGAAAAAGACGGGGAUGACUUGUGGCUAGGAGUGAAAGGCUAAUCAAGCUCGGAGAUAGCUGGUUCUCCUCGAAAGCUAUUUAGGUAGCGCCUUGCGUUUUACUCUCGGGGGUAGAGCACUGUUUGGGCUAGGGGGGCAUCUCGCUUUACCAACCCCAUGCAAACUUCGAAUACCGAGAAGUACCAUCGCAGGAGACACACGGCGGGUGCUAACGUCCGUCGUGAAAAGGGAAACAACCCAGACCGCCAGCUAAGGUCCCCAAAUGAACGCUCAGUGGGAAACGAUGUGGAAAGUCACAGACAGCCAGGAGGUUGGCUUAGAAGCAGCCACCCUUUAAAGAAAGCGUAAUAGCUCACUGGUCGAGUCGGUCUGCGCGAAAGAUAUAACGGGGCUCAAGCGUUCUACCGAAGCUGCGGAUGCCGUAAGGCAUGGUAGGGGAGCGUUCUGUAAGCCUGUGAAGGUCUGCUGUGAGGCAGACUGGAGGUAUCAGAAGUGCGAAUGCUGACAUAAGUAGCGAUCAUGCGGGUGAAAAACCCGCACGCCGAAAGUCCAAGGUUUCCUGCGCCACGUUAAUCGACGCAGGGUGAGUCGGUCCCUAAGGCGAGGCAGAUAUGCGUAGCCGAUGGAAAACGGGUUAAUAUUCCCGUACUUUACUGCACUGCGAUGAGGGGACGAAGAAGGCUAAGUCAGCACGCGAUUGGUUGUGCGUGUUUAAGGUGGUAGGCAGAAUCAGUAGGCAAAUCCGCUGAUUUAAUGCCGAGAACUGACGACGAGUCUCGUUUCAGAGACGAAGUGACUGAUGCCCUGCUUCCAAGAAAAGCCUCUAAGCUUCAGGUGUAGUAGAACCGUACCCCAAACCGACACAGGUGGACAGGGUGAGAAUCCCAAGGUGUUUGAGAGAACUCGGGUGAAGGAACUAGGCAAAAUAGCACCGUAACUUCGGGAGAAGGUGUACCUUCUGGAUGAACCCUGCACAGGGGAAGUCUAAGAAGGUCGCAGUGACCAGGUGGCUGCGACUGUUUAUUAAAAACACAGCACUCUGCUAACACGAAAGUGGACGUAUAGGGUGUGACGCCUGCCCGGUGCUGGAAGGUUAAUUGAUGGGGUUAGCGAAAGCGAAGCUCUUGAUCGAAGCCCCAGUAAACGGCGGCCGUAACUAUAACGGUCCUAAGGUAGCGAAAUUCCUUGUCGGGUAAGUUCCGACCUGCACGAAUGGCGUAACGAUGGCCACACUGUCUCCACCCGAGACUCAGCGAAAUUGAAUUUGCGGUGAAGAUGCCGUAUACCCGCGACUAGACGGAAAGACCCCAUGAACCUUUACUAUAGCUUUACACUGGACUUUGAACCGACUUGUGUAGGAUAGGUGGGAGGCUGUGAAACACUCACGCCAGUGCGUGCGGAGCCAACCUUGAAAUACCACCCUGGUCUGUUCGGGGUUCUAACUUGAUACUGUUACCCAGUAUAAGGACCGUGUAUGGUGGGUAGUUUGACUGGGGCGGUCUCCUCCCAAAGAGUAACGGAGGAGUGCGAAGGUACCCUCAGCGCGGUCGGAAAUCGCGCAUUGAGUGCAAAGGCAUAAGGGUGCUUGACUGCGAGACUGACAAGUCGAGCAGGUACGAAAGUAGGUCUUAGUGAUCCGGUGGUACUUCAUGGAAGGGCCAUCGCUCAACGGAUAAAAGGUACUCUGGGGAUAACAGGCUGAUUCCUCCCAAGAGUUCACAUCGACGGGGGAGUUUGGCACCUCGAUGUCGGCUCAUCACAUCCUGGGGCUGUAGUCGGUCCCAAGGGUAUGGCUGUUCGCCAUUUAAAGUGGUACGCGAGCUGGGUUUAGAACGUCGUGAGACAGUUCGGUCCCUAUCUGUCGUGGGCGUAGGAAAUUUGAGAGGAGUUGCUCCUAGUACGAGAGGACCGGAGUGAACGUACCGCUGGUGUACCAGUUGUCAUGCCAAUGGCACUGCUGGGUAGCUAUGUACGGACGGGAUAACCGCUGAAAGCAUCUAAGCGGGAAGCCUCCCUCAAGAUGAGAUUUCCCAGACGAAAGUCUCUAAAGGUUCGUUGAAGACGACGACGUAGAUAGGCAGGGUGUGGACAUGCAGUAAUGUAUGAAGCUAACCUGUACUAAUCAACCGUGCGGCUUGACCAUAUAACACCCAAGGGUUU
This 2908-nucleotide ribosomal RNA is filed under the name Thioflexithrix psekupsensis. RNAcentral describes it as "bacterial LSU rRNA". It matches the Rfam family "Bacterial large subunit ribosomal RNA". The record is from RNAcentral. Lineage: Bacteria; Pseudomonadati; Pseudomonadota; Gammaproteobacteria; Thiotrichales.